This is a long non-coding RNA of Pezoporus occidentalis (night parrot), 1385 nucleotides long. RefSeq lists it as uncharacterized. The transcript is spliced from 3 exons. NCBI's taxonomy places the organism in Eukaryota, Metazoa, Chordata, Aves, Psittaciformes, Psittacidae. The record is from RefSeq and is a predicted model, not a curated record.
GGUAUAUCAUAAAUGAGUUUAUGUAAACAAGCAUCUGUUGAUGGCAUAGGAGCUCAGGUUCUUGGCUAAUACAGAAAGGGCUCCUCUUAGAGCAACAAAUUUCAGUGCUGAUGUGCGAAGUGAAACACUCAGAUUCCUGUUACACUUGCACAACCUGUUGAGAUCCGAGGAAGUUGUACUGGUGUAACAAAGGAUGGUCAGCAGUUUCACUAGGAAACUCUGGACAAACCUGCCUAGGCAGUAACUUUCAGUAAGUACAGCACUGCCAUGUCACGUCUGCUUCAAGUUCUUAUUUCAGUAGUGGAUGAAACAUCAGGAUUGCAAGGCAGAUAUGUGCUUGCUACAGGUAUUUGUGAAUUCUUCUAAAGGCUUGUCUUGAUUUAAUGGUAGAGAACUGCAUUUAUCUUACUGCCUCCAAUUAACUUGUGCAAAUUGCUUAGUAAUCCAAAAUUAUUAAAAUGUUCAAAAUAAUGACUUUGAAUUUUUAUUGUGGGCCGUUUUAUUUAUGGCCAGUUAGAGAAUAAUUCUGGCAGGGAAAAAAUUGUGUGAUGGUAUUUUCUCAGUUCCCACAGGUGUGGUACUUUAGGUCGGUGUCUGUCUCUAGGUGUCCUCUUCCAUGAAUACACUGUGGGCAGCCGACCAAGCAUGUCCCCACAGUAUCUGGCAUGGUCACUAGCAAGAUACUUAGCAGUCUGUUAACAAGGAUUCUACAGAGUCAAGUCAAGGGGUCAAGUCAAGAAUAAAUCCCUCCUGUUGUGAAACCCAGCAAAGCCACUGUGGCAGUGACUGGGAGUAGCAAAUGCUUUACUGAUUUCUAGUCAGUGGGGCUACAUAUUUCAGGACACCUGCAGGCACACUUGGACUCUUCCUUCUAACUGUUCCCCUUCGUGUUACUGCUGCCUUAGCUACAAUAGCUGUCAAUUUUCUGCUGCAGAUGGCUAAUCUGCUACUGCUGCCCUGCAGCAAAACCCAGAGAAGAGCUGAUUUUUUCCCAAGAGUGAUUUUCCAAGUAGCUAAAACAAGCACCCCAAUUUGGGGAAUUUUUAGGAGGGUUGCAAGCACAAUCUAUUGAGGUGGUUUCAACUGCACAGGAAGAACUGUCUCUACAGAUGAAAGUGGUUGUCUCAGUGGUCUUCAGUGUACUGAAUUUAAAGAUGUGCUGAACUUUGAAAUUACUGACAUAAGCAAUGGUGCACCCAAGGAUAUUCAUGACCAUUGCACCAAUUUAGUGUGUGAUCAAGAUUUCGAGAUUGCUAUGAUAAUCAGGUUAGUAAGCAUAUGCCCAGGCACGUAAUAUGUCUGGCUUUGGAAAUAGGCUGAACAUGCAAAUAAGCACACUUGUAAAUCCAUUGCUUUGUUUAAAGCACUGGAGAUCACUAACUGUA